RNAcentral lists this long non-coding RNA (261 nucleotides) under Gossypium barbadense (sea-island cotton). RNAcentral describes it as "long non-coding RNA (GBAR_LNC002276)". Lineage: Eukaryota; Viridiplantae; Streptophyta; Magnoliopsida; Malvales; Malvaceae. The record is from RNAcentral.
UCCCUAUUCCACAAAACACAAUAUAUGCAAAAUUUCAAUCCACUCAUGUUAGGCCGAAUCUUACCCAUAUUCAUACAAGUCCAGAUAUUUUAUUUAUUUCACAUUUUAGUCCCUCAAAUUAUUAUUUUUUACAAUUUAGUCCUAAUUACUUAAAAUCAUCAAUAACUCCAAUACAAAACAUGUUAAUCUAAAACAUAUCUUUCAUAUUUCAUCAUCAAACAACAAAAAUCAUAAGCUCUCAUCAAUGGCAUAACUCAAAAU